Long non-coding RNA from Triticum dicoccoides, 2066 nucleotides. RefSeq lists it as uncharacterized. The record is from RefSeq and is a predicted model, not a curated record. The transcript has 5 exons. NCBI's taxonomy places the organism in Eukaryota, Viridiplantae, Streptophyta, Magnoliopsida, Poales, Poaceae.
GUAUAGAUAAAAUUGUAAUAUAAACGAGGUGGUACUAAUUGAAUUGAAUCGGUACGAAAGAAAAUAAAAACGCAGCCACGCUCUGCCUCGCGGCGCUCCGCCCCGCCCAACCCACCGUUCCCUCCAGCUAGGCCCCGCGCGCCGCCGGCCGACUCCUGCCUUCCAAUCCCAUCUCCUCCCCACCCGGGGCUUUCUUCGCCGUUCACAGCUCCCCUCCAUCGAUUGGCCGCGACCUCGCUGGAGGCAGAGGAUGGGAGGGUGCGGAGCUGGCAUCCGCCUCACGAAGAUCGAGCGGACCGAUCUGCGCGCCGGCGACCUCGCGGGAGGCAGAGGAUGGGAUGGCGUGCUGCACUCGAGACGAGCGGGCUCGAUUAAGGGGACCGGAGGUUGGCGCCGGCGGGCUCGUGGACGGGGAUGGAGAGGGCAGGUGCCAAUCCGGCGUGACAAGAAAGUUGUUGCGGCGCCGGCCGACCAGCUCCGUCUCCGCGAUUCCAUGGACGGCGGUGGCGUCGUCGCGGGGCCGGCCUGCCGGGAGGGCGAGUGGCUGCGCGCGUAGGCCGUGGCGAUGAUGCCGCGGGUGGAGGCGCUCGCCGCCGACCGCGCGCGGCUGGAGGCCGUCAACGCGCUGCAGCACGAGUCCUGGCCCCUGGGAGGCCCGCGACGUUCGCCUCCAGUGGCGCCUCCUCAAGGCGGAUGAGAACUGGAGGAUGUGGGAGGCGACGUGCAUGGCCCUAUGGCGCUCCGACGAUGACCGGAUGUUCCCCGGUUGCUACGGACUGCUACCCUUGUCUGCUGCACUGAAUAUAGAACACCUAAUUCCCUAAAGAGUGAAAAUGAGGAUCUAAAGAUUUUAUACAAGUGUGAGCUGGAAAACGAGGAACUUAAGAUAAGAGCCAACGACCGGGAGGAGGAGGAGGACGCACGGCAGCGUCAGAAUCAGCGCGUCGGAUCCGGCCGAGGCUUAUGUCGACACGGAUGCGGAGGCUCUAGCUGCAGCCGCCGCGCUCUAUGCCCCGCCCCUGCUCGCCGAGCCCUGCCUCUCUGGAUCUCCAGCAAUGGAGGUCGCUUCUGGCAUGUUCCGCAAGUUCAAAACGAAGAAGAUCUCUGUUUGCACAGCCCUUCAGGGGAACAAUUGGAUUUCUGCACUCCGUCAGGUCAACACCACCGAGUUAGUUCAUGAAUCCAUCAAAUUAUGGUUGUUGAUCAGAGAGGUGCAAAUACCACAGGCCAAGAUGUCGUCUCCUGGUGUUGGACAACAGAUGGAAUGUAUAUGACGCGCUCAACCUACAAGGCAAUGUUCUGGGGCUCUUACUCGAGCACUUGCUCUCGAACUUUCUGGAAGGCUUUGGCUGAAAACAAAGUAAAAAAUUUCUGUUGACACCUGUCGCUUGGGAGGAUUCUGACCGCGGACAAGCUGAUCCAGAGAGGAUGGCAAGGAAGCGAGAUUUGUUCGAUGUGCAGUUCACAGGAGGAGUCAGUGGAGCAUCUUCUUCUGAACUGUUAUUUUGCUCGCCAAGUUUGGAGGAGGAUCGCGGCUUGGUCUUGUUUCGAUUCGAGACAUUAUGACGUGAAGAUGGCCUCCGGGAGGGCACGGUGUACUCCUGGUGGCUGGAGCGAGCCUGCCAAAUCCUUACGACCAACCAGCGAAAGUUUGAUGGGACUGUUGCUUACACAAAAGAAACUUUUCAAAGAAAGCUCUUCAAAAAUGUUCUUCUUCAAAGAAAUGCACUGAUUUUCAUAAAAAUAGUAACUAUUCUUAAAAAAGUGUCAGUUUUUAUGAAAAUGCUAACUUUUAAAUAAGGAAUUUUCCGCAUUUUUCAGAAAAGCAAAAAGAAAAUGACAGACAAUCUAUUCCAAGAAAAGAUUACUCUUCCAUAAAAAUAGAUGGAUAACGCUAAGGCGGCUUCUUCACGUCCGAACUUCAUGCUACAUAAAGAACUAAUCAGUUUAACCUUAUUAUUGAUGUAUAUUAAAAUUAUUAAAAUUAGAUACAAAAAAUGGUGCCCGGUGCAACGCACGGGCAUUUGUACUAGUAAUAAUAAUCUCUCCCUAAUAAUAAAGCACGG